This 205-nucleotide microRNA precursor is filed under the name Oryza brachyantha (malo sina). RNAcentral describes it as "MIR812 microRNA precursor family". It matches the Rfam family "MIR812 microRNA precursor family". Lineage: Eukaryota; Viridiplantae; Streptophyta; Magnoliopsida; Poales; Poaceae. The record is from Rfam by way of RNAcentral.
AAUAAACGAAUUUCUGUGUUUUUGAUAAAAUUUUUGACUCUUCGUCUUAUUUAAAAAAUUUAUAAUUAAUAUUUUUAUUGUUACUACAUGAUAAAGCAUGAAUAGUACUUUACGUGCGACUAAUUUUUUUUUAAUUUUUUAAUAAUCUUUUUAAAAUAAAAUGGGUGGUCAAAUGCUCAAACUACAAACCAGGAAUGUCUUUUUU